CGGGAUGUCGUCUAGUUUGGACUAAGGCACCUGUUUUGGGUACAGGAUAUCGGGGGUUCAAAUCCCUCCAUCCCGAC
Molecule: transfer RNA, 77 nt
Filed under: Gordonia phage GodonK
Lineage: Duplodnaviria; Heunggongvirae; Uroviricota; Caudoviricetes
Description: tRNA-Pro
Rfam family: tRNA
About the family: Transfer RNA (tRNA) molecules are approximately 80 nucleotides in length. Their secondary structure includes four short double-helical elements and three loops (D, anti-codon, and T loops). Further hydrogen bonds mediate the characteristic L-shaped molecular structure. tRNAs have two regions of fundamental functional importance: the anti-codon, which is responsible for specific mRNA codon recognition, and the 3' end, to which the tRNAs corresponding amino acid is attached (by aminoacyl-tRNA synthetases). tRNAs cope with the degeneracy of the genetic code in two manners: having more than one tRNA (with a specific anti-codon) for a particular amino acid; and 'wobble' base-pairing, i.e. permitting non-standard base-pairing at the 3rd anti-codon position.
Source: RNAcentral